GGAAUGUUGUUCGAGUGGUUUAAUAUGAUAGUUUGCUAAACUAUUUAGAUUAAAGCUUACACAGGUUCGAAUCCUGUGCAUUCCU
RNAcentral lists this transfer RNA (85 nucleotides) under Clostridium cylindrosporum DSM 605. It matches the Rfam family "tRNA". Rfam says of the family: Transfer RNA (tRNA) molecules are approximately 80 nucleotides in length. Their secondary structure includes four short double-helical elements and three loops (D, anti-codon, and T loops). Lineage: Bacteria; Bacillati; Bacillota; Clostridia; Eubacteriales; Clostridiaceae. The record is from Rfam by way of RNAcentral.